Molecule: long non-coding RNA, 369 nt
Filed under: Rattus norvegicus (Norway rat)
Lineage: Eukaryota; Metazoa; Chordata; Mammalia; Rodentia; Muridae
Description: long non-coding RNA NONRATT002731
Source: RNAcentral
GUUAUCUUACAGAGACCUCUCUUCAUUCUGAUGUGGAGGAUCGGCCCCUGUGAUUCAGAGGGUCGUAGAUGGGCUCCCUGGGCCCAGUGUGCCUUGGUUGUGGCCAUUCUGCCUCCACCCCAACCCUCACACAGUUGUGGGGUUCAGCACAGGGAAAACCCAGAGACCAUGCCCAGCCAAGUCUCCAGUCUCUGGCUGUUGUCAUAUGGCUCCCAUGUGGAUCUUGGGCACCCCUUUCUAACUACCUAUGUCAGCUGUGAGAGGCUAAUGGCAUAUGGUGGCUUCUGGUGGCACAGUAGGUGCUGAGUUAGGCUGUGGCAUUGUUGUUGCCCAGAGCAGGCACAGUGGGUGGGGAUGGUCCCUGCCCUA